RNAcentral lists this ribosomal RNA (637 nucleotides) under Ustilago affinis. RNAcentral describes it as "LSU rRNA". It matches the Rfam family "Eukaryotic large subunit ribosomal RNA", at positions 43 to 661 of the family's 3401-position model. The record is from RNAcentral. Lineage: Eukaryota; Fungi; Basidiomycota; Ustilaginomycetes; Ustilaginales; Ustilaginaceae.
UCAAUAAGCGGAGGAAAAGAAACUAACAAGGAUUCCCCUAGUAACGGCGAGUGAAGAGGGAAGAGCCCAAGAUUGAAAGCUGGCGUCUUCGGCGUCCGCAUUGUAAUCUCAAGAAGUGUUUUCCGCUUCGGACCAAGCCUAAGUCCCUUGGAAAAGGGCAUCAUAGAGGGUGAUAAUCCCGUAUCUGGCUUGGAGCGCCCGAAGCUUUGUGAUACGCUUUCUAAGAGUCGAGUUGUUUGGGAAUGCAGCUCAAAAUGGGUGGUAAAUGCCAUCUAAGGCUAAAUAUUGGGGAGAGACCGAUAGCGAACAAGUACAGUGAUGGAAAGAUGAAAAGAACUUUGAAAAGAGAGUUAAACAGUACGUGAAAUUGCCAAAAGGGAAGGGUAGGAGGUCAGAGAUGUGGCCUGGGAUUCAGCCUUGCUUUUGCUCGGUGUUUUUCCCAGAUUGCAGGCCAACGUCGGUUUUGGGCACUGGAGAAGGGUAGGAGGAACGUGGCACCCCUCGGGGUGUGUUAUAGCCUCCUACUGGAUACAGCGACCGAGACCGAGGACAGCAGCGUACUCGCAAGAGCGGGCCUUCGGGCACCUUUACGCUUAGGGCGUUGGCAUAAUGGCCCUCUACCACCCGUCUUGAAACA